GACCUCGGAUCAGGUAGGGAUACCCGCUGAACUUAAGCAUAUCAAUAAGCGGAGGAAAAGAAACCAACUGGGAUUGCCUCAGUAACGGCGAGUGAAGCGGCAUCAGCUCAGAUUUGAAAUCUGGUUCUUUCAGAGCCCGAGUUGUAAUCUGUAGAGGAGUCUUCGGGUUUGGAUCUGGCCUAAGUUUCUUGGAACAGAACGUCAUAGAGGGUGAGAGUCCCGUAUGAGGCCAGCUACCUAUUCCCAUGUGAAGCUUCUUCGACGAGUCGAGUUGUUUGGGAAUGCAGCUCAAAAUGGGUGGUAAAUUUCAUCUAAAGCUAAAUAUUGGCGGGAGACCGAUAGCGCACAAGUAGAGUGAUCGAAAGAUGAAAAGCACUUUGAAAAGAGAGUUAAAAAGUACGUGAAAUUGUUGAAAGGGAAACGC
Molecule: ribosomal RNA, 424 nt
Filed under: uncultured fungus
Lineage: Eukaryota; Fungi
Description: eukaryotic LSU rRNA
Rfam family: Eukaryotic large subunit ribosomal RNA
Source: RNAcentral